Molecule: ribosomal RNA, 450 nt
Filed under: uncultured bacterium
Lineage: Bacteria
Description: bacterial SSU rRNA
Rfam family: Bacterial small subunit ribosomal RNA
Source: RNAcentral
GGCCUAACACAUGCAAGUCGAACGGCAGCACAGUGUGUAGCAAUACACAUGGGUGGCGAGUGGCGGACGGGUGAGUAACGCGUAGGAAUCUGCCCUAAAGAGGGGGACAACCCGAGGAAACUCGGGCUAAUACCGCAUAAUCUCGCAAGAGAAAAGCUGGGGCAACCUGGCACUUUAGGAGGAGCCUGCGUCCGAUUAGCUAGUUGGUGAGGUAAAAGCUCACCAAGGCGAUGAUCGGUAGCUGGUCUGAGAGGAUGAUCAGCCACACUGGGACUGAGACACGGCCCAGACUCCUACGGGAGGCAGCAGUGGGGAAUAUUGGACAAUGGGGGCAACCCUGAUCCAGCAAUGCCGCGUGUGUGAAGAAGGCCUUCGGGUUGUAAAGCACUUUAGUUGGGGAAGAAGGCUUGUAGUUUAAGAGAUGAUAAGCUUGACGGUACCCAAAGAAUA